AAUGGGAGUGCGAAUACUCGAAAGCCUGUCUCAGUUCGGAUUGGAGGCUGAAACCCGCCUCCAUGAAGUUGGAUUCGCUAGUAAUCGCGCAUCAGCCAUGGCGCGGUGAAUACGUUCCCGGGCCUUGUACACACCGCCCGUCAAGCCAUGGGAGCCGGGGGUGCCUGAAGUUCGUGACCGCAAGGAGCGACCUAGGGCAAAACUGGUGACUGGGGCUAAGUCGUAACAAGGUACC
Molecule: ribosomal RNA, 235 nt
Filed under: uncultured bacterium
Lineage: Bacteria
Description: partial 16S ribosomal RNA
Rfam family: Bacterial small subunit ribosomal RNA
Source: RNAcentral